Molecule: non-coding RNA, 32 nt
Filed under: Mus musculus (house mouse)
Lineage: Eukaryota; Metazoa; Chordata; Mammalia; Rodentia; Muridae
Source: RNAcentral
GAACACUGGAUUAACAGAACGUUCAGGGCAUA